GCAAACUUGGUCAUUUAGAGGAAGUAAAAGUCAUAACAAGGUUUCCGUAGGUGAACCUGCGGAAGGAUCAUUAAUGAUGCCCUCGACGUCUGCUUGACUGCUAGGGUUGUGCCGCGACUCUCUCGGGAGGCCGGCCUUCAUCUCACACACCGUGAACUGUGGCCUCGGCCAUUUACACAAACUGUUAGUAAUGAAUGUAACAUCAUAACAAACAUAAAACUUUUAACAACGGAUCUCUUGGCUCUCGCAUCGAUGAAGAACGCAGC
This 266-nucleotide unclassified non-coding RNA is filed under the name uncultured fungus. RNAcentral's name for it is "partial contains small subunit ribosomal RNA, internal transcribed spacer 1, and 5.8S ribosomal RNA". The stretch from base 1 to 73 matches the Rfam family "Eukaryotic small subunit ribosomal RNA", at positions 1759 to 1831 of the family's 1831-position model. Lineage: Eukaryota; Fungi. The record is from RNAcentral.